RNAcentral lists this non-coding RNA (99 nucleotides) under chicken gut metagenome. RNAcentral's name for it is "THF riboswitch". It matches the Rfam family "THF (Tetrahydrofolate) riboswitch aptamer". From Rfam's summary of the family: THF riboswitch presents a pseudoknot that joins P1-P2 and the loop of P3 and two THF binding. The record is from RNAcentral.
CAGAGUAGAAGCAGGCGCGUUAAGUGCCGGUUGGACGGGAAGUUGCCAGCCGGACGAGUGGGCCAGAGGCUCAGCGGUGCCUGUUUCGCAUUCCGCUGU